Molecule: transfer RNA, 71 nt
Filed under: Rhodotorula toruloides
Lineage: Eukaryota; Fungi; Basidiomycota; Microbotryomycetes; Sporidiobolales; Sporidiobolaceae
Description: tRNA-Gly (TCC) cove score=51.00
Rfam family: tRNA
About the family: Transfer RNA (tRNA) molecules are approximately 80 nucleotides in length.
Source: RNAcentral
GCGUGUGUGAUGUAAUGGUAGCAUAGCUCACUUCCAAUGAGCUCGUAUCGGUUCGAGUCCGAUCACACGUA